AGUGCCCCGUACUAUUUUUCUCCGAGUAUUUGGGUUUGCAUUUUCAAGUGGGCUUGCAGCUCGGGGCUGGCUGAGGCUUGCUGGGUGGAGCCAGAGAGGGGAAACUCGAGCUUAAACCCGGGUAACACGGAUAUUCUGAGUUCGGAGAUCCUCCAACUGCAGCAGCUGGCGGAGGACUUGAACCCGUCGGUGCUUUCUCAGGGAUUGCGGAAUGAUCUGAAAGCAGCUUUGGAUAAGAUCGAGCUGCAGUAACUGAACGAACGUGUGGGUGGUCAGGAACCUGGAGAGGAAGACACACAGAAUGAUUUGGAGUUUCAUUUAAAAAAACACCCCGUGGAAGAGUUAGAGUUCCUUCUCAAUCGAAUGCCAGAGAAGAUGGUCUGGAAGAUGCAGUGUGCAGGUACCCAGUGCAGGGAAGCUGACCAGUGCUGCCUAGAAACAGGCCGAACCCUGUCUCAGACCCCUUUUCAGAAAGCUUCGGAAAAGAGUGAGGCUAGUGAUGCUUAUCUUCAGGUGGCCAUUGCCCCAUGGCGCGGUCCUGGCACUAGCCAUGCCAGAGCUGGGAGGGAAAGGAUGUUCCCCAAGAUGCCGCGCAUGUUCUGAAUGGUGAAGCAGAGUGGAAGUGUGUUCAGUGCCUGCAGACAAACGUGGCACAUCAAGGUGGCUGACGCUGCUGUAAGCAUAUGGGCCCCCUGGGAGCUGGUAUUGUUUUCGACCCUGCUUUGCCUAGUAGACACUUUGGUAGCACUGCUGGAACUUAAGGUGCUAUCUCAAGGCUUCAUGGACAAGAAACACAGUGACCUCAGAACUCACGUCACUGGUCAGGCGAUCCAGGAACGCUGCGUCGUCGCACCUGUGCCUCAGAGGCCGCACUGCCCCUGCCGUCCUCAGGACGUGUGGCAUCAUUAGACCCCAAUUUGCUCUCAAAAGUUUAAGAAGCCUGUGCUGAACAAGAAUCCAUCCUGACAUCUGAUUCCCCUCAUGACCUACCUUCUGGAGAAUACCACUCCCGAAAAAGUCGUAAACUUAAAGGACUCCCUCUUCCUGUGUUGGGAAGACCUUUCCUGGUACUGCUCACCAGUUCCUGUGCAGCCAACCUUGAAGGCAUCUAUGUCUAAUUCAAGGAGUCACAAGACCUAAAGGGACCAGGAAAGCCAUCGGUGAUCUCAAACUCAGAAUCUUCGAACAGCCAGAGCAGGCAACACUGGAUGUGGACAGCUAUCCCAAACACCUGACCAGGCCUCAGAGUAUGACAGCUUGAUUUCGACCACUGUUCUCCUUUACUGUGAAAAUCACAAGGAGGGAAACGGACUCUUCUACUUUUCUCUUCCUAUUGGUCCUUGAUUAUGUAUGUAUAUGUAAUGCCCUUGUCUGUAUCUCCCAGGUGGCUGCCAAGGGUUGUAACCUUCCAGGCUGCUGGAUUUGCCACCUAAAACUCCGUGUCUCCUGUGAUGUAGGACACCCUGGUCCUUCCUAUAACUGGUUUUUCUUCUGUCCCUACUGCCACCAUAAACAAUACCCUAACUCCCUUGGGGGUCAGCUACAGUGUGUACUUCUGCUGCCAGCCUCCCUCUGUGUCGUUUUUCCCCUUUAUACUUCCCCAGUUAGACAAAAAUACCUGUGCACACCGUAGUACACUUGUGACCCCCAAGUUACUAUUAUGUAACUCAAACCUGUCCUGGUGACAAAAACACCUUACCAGGAGCAUCCACCUUUGCAAGGAAUUUUAGGCUGGGAGGUCUAGUUCCCAGGGGCACUGAAACCCUAAGCUAUCUUAGGCUGGCACAUAACUGGGCACUGCUUCUUAGGUUAUACACUAUACCCCCAACCGUCCACAACCUGUCCACAGAAAACUGAGCUACUGCACCAAUCAACUCUGCUGAAUUUAAAUCAAGUUAAGGUAGGACUUACCAGGAGCAUUGAGGAUUCACUUCCUUUGGGAGAUCCCUACUUGUCUGGUGAAGAGUGAGUACAAAAUGAGGCUCUGAGCACAAAACCCUUUACGCCUUGGCAACAUCACCCACCCUACACCAGAGUCUUAGCUGCCCAACAAAACCACCUGGACUCUCCAGCUAGAGCUGUCCUUGACGACAGGACAGUCCUUGAUUACCUUGUCCCUGAACAAACAGGUGUCUAGUCUGCGCCACUUGUACUUGGGUACAGUUUUGGGAAACUUGAGAUUCAAUUAUAUAAAAUUCAAGGUCAAGCACAAUCUAAUCUGACUCACCUUGUAAUUUUGAUUUAUUCAGCUGGUUACUGGUAGGAUUGGGCUCGUGGGUUACAAUUUGGGUUUUCUAUUUGUCAUUUUGUUUCGAUUUUUAAUCAGUUGUUGUCUUUGUAAAAAUAACAAACAUGAUAGAUUAAUGCUUGCCCAGUGUUUCAUACUGAUGCCUCGAUCCUCUACUCUGAUCCAUUACAGGAAGUUGCUCAAAUGUGGCCUUUUAGAUGCUAACAACCCUGAAAACUUAUCUCACCCUGAAGGAAGAUGUCUAGUCAUGGCAUCAUGGGGAGAAAUAAACAAAAUGGGUGGAGUCCAUGCAGAAGAAAUGCCCAGUGAUAAACUGAGUGAUCAACACCCCAUAACAAGGACUCCAUCCAAAAGAACUUCUAGCUCUUCUCAACUCCCCAGCCACCAAGACUGUCCAUCCCCACAUCUGGACUUCCUUGUUCCCGACUCAGCUACUUUGACUCAAAGGGACCGCAUUUUGGAAAGCAGGACCGUGCGGCAUUUGGGAGUAUAUACACCUGUCACUCAGAAAUCUUGGAAGGAAAUCAUCAGAGAUUUUCCCAUGCUCCUGGAUCAACUCUGACUGUGGUGCUUUGAAACCUACACUGCACGAUGCUUUGCUUUUCAUGGGCAGGUCACUACGUGAGUAAAAGUAUCUGCCAAGUAUUUGCAUGUAUGUAGAGCCUGGGGAGAUCUAAAAUACACUCUGGGGUCUUUUCUGGGAAGUAGCGUAAGAAUCUCUAACAUCUGAUAUAAAAACAUACAUAUAAACAUUUCGUUCCACAGGUAUCUAGAAAUCAGACAUAAAAACAAUGGCUUCCACACCAUGCAGAUGUUUCCUUCUGGGAAUUAUGAUAUGGGCAAGGGCAACACAUACGCAACACAUCUGAGACCACAAACUCAUAAGCAGUGAAGGGGGAAGAGCUGUAAGAACAAAACAUUCCCUUACGAUACCUCUACUCAUCAGUACUUUGGUGAGUUGGAGACUCAGACCCGUCCAUAAUGGGCGAGUGUUCUGUUGCUUCUCUGAACAAAGGAAAGCAGAAGGAGGAAGAGAAGAGAGGUCACGUUAAAGAGAGGAACCGACACAGACACGAUUUGCAGCUCAUUGAAACACUGGAAAGGCCAGCUGAAUACACACCUGAGUGUUAGUGACAAGUAAGUCAUGCAGAACUUUCACCCCCGUGAGUGAGUCAGAAGACCUCUCUAGUCUGUUAGGAAGGCAGGCUUUGGCACUUUCUGCCCAUUUCUCAUUUUCUUGUCGCAUCAUAGAGAAUAGUUGUUAAUGAUAAUUUAACUCAGUCUGAUUAAAAAGUUUUACUGCAAGGACCAAAAUAGCUUUUUGUUUCAAAUCUCUCGAGUCCUCACUGGCUGUAUGUGGUGAAACACGAGCAGGGUUGAAGACCCCGUGAAGGGCACUUACACAUUUCAGAGCCUGCAGUCGGGUAAAUAAAUCUGUUUGGGUCCUGUGAGACUGGGGUGAUCCAGAAAAUUCGGAGGAUCCAGAGAGAGAGCCGGGAACCUGGAGUCCCUUAUUCAGAUGAAAUGGUUUACCACUGGGGGUGCCACAGAUACAGAAGAUGGGUGGUUUUUAUGAGUCGGUCUUGGUGAGACUCCCGGGCACUAGGCCUACUAGCAGCUGCCCGGCCGCACAAGCUAGAGCUGGGGUGUGGAUGGUAAGGGAGUGUUUUCAGGAUCUGCAAUAAGGACAGAAGGGAAGUUGCUGCCCCCAAACAGACCCAGAAGUGGGAGUGGACAUAAGAACACUGUCAAACUUUAGUGGGCAUCAGAAUACCCUGGGGGGUUUGCUAAAACACAGACACCAGGCCCCACCGCGAGACUUUUUGACUCAGUAGGCCACGGAUGGGCCCAAAAACGUGCACUUCUAACAAGAUCCCCCAUGAUGCUGCUGGUCUGGGGGCUGCACUUGGAGCACCACUGGCCUGGUGGAGAGAGGGCUAUGGGGCACAGAGUGCAGGGCUGAAAUUCCAGCUCCAUCCGGCCCCGUAACUUUGGGCAAGGCACUUACUUUCUGUUAGCCUUCUCUAUAAAACUAAAAGAUCGGCUGCUUCCUGAGUGAGGUUGUAUAUGUUAGAAGAAAUUUCCAGCAUUUGAGUACAAAGCAAGCACUCAAACAUAAGCUCCACUAUCUUCUGUCACAUAAGGCCCCAUAAAGCCUGGUUUAAAAGCACUACAGAUAAAUCUACAGGAACAAAAAAUGUCUGCCAAGCAUGAGAGUCAGAAAUGCAGUCAGUGGAGCCACUCCUGGUCCUACUGUUUUCUGAUAAUUCAACUCACACAGAGCUUUCAGACAUCCCCACCGAUGCUCCAGCAAAUGAGAAACUCACUAGAUCUGGAUGAAGGGACCCUUAAACUCCCAACAGGCAUUGGGAGUAUGUAACCGCUUAGAGGUGAUGUCUUAGGAGCAACAGAAGAGGCAAGAACCGAGCAGAAAGCAGGCUCCGCACACCCGCCAGCAGACCAGCACACAGCCUAAGUGCCCUCGAGAUUAGGGUGUCCAUCUACACUGCAUGCUAUAAAAGAGGCCAUGUCUUGGUUUUGUCAUCCUGCUGUGGGCCACUUAAAGGUCUCAAGGUACCUGAUCCCCUUUGUGCGUUGAUUAAGCAGUUGGCCAGGACAGAGACAGGAUUUGAACCUUUUGCCUUUUUUCUUAAGAUGCACCCUGAUACCAAACGGCGGGCACCCCAAGGAGCAGGUCAGACAUGGGACCAGGGCCCAGCACCAGGUGCUCACCCUGGUCUCUGUCCCCUCCCUCCUUCGCUCCUGGCAUUGGGAAAUUGUCCUGGGAGAACCAGAACCAAACUCACAUGCUGCCUGGAAUUAUGACCAAGGUGGCACAGUUGGACUUGUGUUACCACCUCCCCGACGUUCUUGGGGCCAUUGCCCACAUUACGAGAGAGUAGAGAGAAUUCCCCAUCUACAGGGACAGUGAUGGAAAGGAGAGGGGAAGAAGGGGCAGUUCGUGAGGCUUCUUUGGAAAAGGAAGGUUUCCAGGAAUGAAGAACACUCAUCAUUCUUUUCCUGAUAACCCCUCUGCUACUAGGAUCUCAUACUCAUUACCCUCUUCCUAACUGAUAAGGAAGGCUGAGGAUCAUUCCAGAACCUGGGAGAAGAGGAAAGAUCUGACAGAACUCACCCAGUCUGCCAGGGUGAAGGUGUGUUUUGCUGAAUAAGACCAGAGACAACAACUAACUUGGAUUUCUGUCCUUACCUGGAGAAGCGGCUGCAGGAUAAUUGGCAUCCUACUGAGAAAGCGGAAAGGGGAGCAAGUUGGCCCCGCCCACUGGUGCUGACCCGCCCGUUCGGAGGUCUUUGUCACUCUUAGCAAAACCAGGGUCAGCGAGAGAGGAGGUGAAAGGGGGAGAGCUGAAACGCCUCCAGUCUCAUACAUCCCAGACAGCUAGGUUUUAGAACCAACCAUUUGAUUCCUCCUCA
This is a long non-coding RNA of Artibeus jamaicensis (Jamaican fruit-eating bat), 5683 nucleotides long. RefSeq lists it as uncharacterized. Lineage: Eukaryota; Metazoa; Chordata; Mammalia; Chiroptera; Phyllostomidae. The record is from RefSeq and is a predicted model, not a curated record. The transcript is spliced from 11 exons.